This 253-nucleotide ribosomal RNA is filed under the name uncultured bacterium. RNAcentral's name for it is "partial 16S ribosomal RNA". It matches the Rfam family "Bacterial small subunit ribosomal RNA", at positions 524 to 776 of the family's 1533-position model. The record is from RNAcentral.
GACGUAGGGCGCGAGCGUUGUCCGGAUUUAUUGGGCGUAAAGAGCUCGUAGGCGGCUCGUUGCGUCGGCUGUGAAAACCCGCAGCUCAACUGUGGGCUUGCAGCUGAUACGGGCGGGCUGGAGUUCGGUAGGGGAGACUGGAAUUCCUGGUGUAGCGGUGAAAUGCGCAGAUAUCAGGAGGAACACCGGUGGCGAAGGCGGGUCUCUGGGCCGAUACUGACGCUAAGGAGCGAAAGCGUGGGGAGCGAACAGG